UACGAAGGGGGCUAGCGUUGUUCGGAAUUACUGGGCGUAAAGCGCGCGCAGGCGGCUAUCCAAGUCAGUGGUGAAAGCCCGGAGCUCAACUCCGGAACUGCCAUUGAAACUGUUUAGCUUGAGGAUGAGAGAGGUGAGUGGAAUUCCCAGUGUAGAGGUGAAAAUUCGUAGAUAUUGGGGAAGAACACCGGUGGCGAAGGCGGCUCACUGGCUCAUUACUGAGCUCAGGCGCGAUAGCGUGGGGGAUCAAAACAGGAUUAGAUACCCC
Molecule: ribosomal RNA, 268 nt
Filed under: uncultured bacterium
Lineage: Bacteria
Description: partial 16S ribosomal RNA
Rfam family: Bacterial small subunit ribosomal RNA
Source: RNAcentral